RNAcentral lists this ribosomal RNA (253 nucleotides) under uncultured bacterium. RNAcentral describes it as "partial 16S ribosomal RNA". It matches the Rfam family "Bacterial small subunit ribosomal RNA", at positions 524 to 776 of the family's 1533-position model. The record is from RNAcentral.
UACGGGGGGGGCAAGCGUUGUUCGGAAUUACUGGGCGUAAAGGGCUCGUAGGCGGCCAAUUAAGUCGGACGUGAAAUCCCUCAGCUUAACUGGGGAACUGCGUUCGAUACUGGAUGGCUUGGAUUUGGGAGAGGGAUGCGGAAUUCCAGGUGUAGCGGUGAAAUGCGUAGAUAUCUGGAGGAACACCGGUGGCGAAGGCGGCAUCCUGGACCAACAUUGACGCUGAGGAGCGAAAGCUAGGGGAGCAAACGGG